AUCCUGGCUCAGAACGAACGCUGGCGGCGUGCUUAACACAUGCAAGUCGAACGCGAAAGGGACUUCGGUCCUGAGUAAAGUGGCGCACGGGUGAGUAACGCGUAGAUAACCUGUCUUCAUGUCUGGAAUAAUACGCCGAAAGGGGUACUAAUACCGGAUAUUCUUGCUUUUCAUAAGUUAUGCAAGCAAAGGUGGCCUCUGCAUAUGCUACUGCAUGAAGAGGGGUCUGCGUACCAUUAGCUAGUAGGUGGGGUAAUGGCCUACCUAGGCGACGAUGGUUAGCGGGUCUGAGAGGAUGAUCCGCCACACUGGCACCGGAACACGGGCCAGACUCCUACGGGAGGCAGCAGUGAGGAAUAUUGCGCAAUGGGGGAAACCCUGACGCAGCGACGCCGCGUGAAGUGAGGAAGGCCUUCGGGUCGUAAAGCUCUGUCAAGAGGAAAGAAGUGUACAAUGGCUAAUACCUGUUGUAUUUGACGGUACCUCUAAAGGAAGCACCGGCUAACUCCGUGCCAGCCGCCGC
Molecule: ribosomal RNA, 523 nt
Filed under: uncultured bacterium
Lineage: Bacteria
Description: bacterial SSU rRNA
Rfam family: Bacterial small subunit ribosomal RNA
Source: RNAcentral